Molecule: ribosomal RNA, 1202 nt
Filed under: denitrifying bacterium enrichment culture clone NOB_2_E8
Lineage: Bacteria
Description: bacterial SSU rRNA
Rfam family: Bacterial small subunit ribosomal RNA
Source: RNAcentral
AGACAUCCGAUGGUAACGGGCUCUGAGAAGGAUGUCCCCCACACCUGUAGCUGAAACCGAUCAGUCCUACGGAGGCAGCAGUACGAUACUAGACAUGACGCAGUCUGACCAGCAUGGCUGCGUGACGAGACGCCUAUGGGUGUAAACUCUUUUCUCAGGGGUAAACUCUGGAACGUGUCCCGACUGAAAGUACUGAGGAAUAAGCAUCGGCUAACUCCGUGCCAGCAGCCGCGGUAAUACGGAGGAUGCGAGCGUUAUCCGGAUUCAUUGGGUUUAAAGGGUGCGCAGGCGGAUAUAUAAGUCGGAGGUGAAAUUCUGAUGCUCAACAUCAGCCGUGCCUUCGAUACUGUAUAUCUAGAGUCAAGUUGGAGUAGGCGGAAUGUGUUGUGUAGCGGUGAAAUGCUUAGAUAUAACACAGAACACCGAUCGCGAAGGCAGCUUACUAAACUUUGACUGACGCUCAUGCACGAAAGCGUGGGGAUCAAACAGGAUUAGAUACCCUGGUAGUCCACGCUGUAAACGAUGAUUACUCGCUGUUGGCGAUACACAGUCAGUGGCUAAGCGAAAGUGAUAAGUAAUCCACCUGGGGAGUACGACGGCAACGUUGAAACUCAAAGGAAUUGACGGGGGCCCGCACAAGCGGAGGAGCAUGUGGUUUAAUUCGAUGAUACGCGAGGAACCUUACCAGGGCUAGAACGCAAGUUGAUUAUGUGCGAAAGUAUAUAUCUCUUCGGAGCAAUUUGCGAGGUGCUGCAUGGUUGUCGUCAGCUCGUGCCGUGAGGUGUCAGGUUAAGUCCUAUAACGAGCGCAACCCCUACUCUUAGUUGCCAGCAUGUAAUGAUGGGGACUCUAAGAGAACUGCCUACGCAAGUAGAGAGGAAGGUGGGGAUGACGUCAAAUCAGCACGGCCCUUAUGUCCUGGGCUACACACGUGCUACAAUGGUCGGUACAGAGGGCAGCUACCUGGUGACAGGAUGCUAAUCUCAAAAGCCGGUCUCAGUUCGGAUCGGAGUCUGCAACUCGACUCCGUGAAGUUGGAUUCGCUAGUAAUCGCGCAUCAGCCAUGGCGCGGUGAAUACGUUCCCGGGCCUUGUACACACCGCCCGUCAAGCCAUGGAAGCUGGGGGUACCUAAAGUCCGUAACCGUAAGGAGCGGCCUAGGGUAAAACUAGUGACUGGGGCUAAGUCGUAACAAGGUAGCC